This 216-nucleotide ribosomal RNA is filed under the name uncultured bacterium. RNAcentral describes it as "partial 16S ribosomal RNA". It matches the Rfam family "Bacterial small subunit ribosomal RNA", at positions 524 to 737 of the family's 1533-position model. The record is from RNAcentral.
UACAGGGGGUGCAAACGUUGCUCGGAAUUAUUGGGCGUAAAGCGCCGCGUAGGCGGCCCUUUUAAGUCGGAUGUGAAAGCCCUCGGCUCAACUGGGGAAGUGCACCCGAAACUGAAAGGCUUGAGUACUGAAGAGGGUCGCGGAAUUCCCAGUGUAGAGGUGAAAUUCGUAGAUAUUGGGAGGAACACCAGCGGCGAAGGCGGCGACCUGGUCAGA